This 368-nucleotide ribosomal RNA is filed under the name uncultured Glomeromycotina. RNAcentral's name for it is "LSU rRNA". The record is from RNAcentral. Lineage: Eukaryota; Fungi; Glomeromycota.
UUGAAAGGGAAACGAUUGAAGUCAGUCGUGCUGGCGCGAAAUCAACCUUCUCGUCUUGAGAUCACAGGCGUGGCGAGCCUCAAAACCGUCACGAAGCGUGAACUCUUGGUGAAAUGGAGCACUUUCGUGUCCGCUGGUUAACAUCAAUUUCGAACGUCAUAAAAAGGCUGGAGGGAUGUGGCUCCUUCGGGAGUGUUAUAACCUUUAGCGGAAUGUGGUGUUCGGGAUUGAGGAUUGCAACGAAUACCUUUAGGGCUGUUCCACCUGGCUUCUCUUUGGUAUCCUGGUGACGACAGCUUGCUGACGUCGUUAGGAUUCGCCUUUGAACAGGCUAGAGUGUGAGCAAAUUCGUUAAGGAUGUUGACGUA